CCCGAGAGUGACUAGCUACUGAAUCAUAGAAUUUCUUUAAAUUCAUGAUGUCGUAAGGGAAAAUAAUGAUAUUACCUUACUAUGAGUGUCGUCCAAAGCUGGUGCCAGAAGACUCGGUAAGACCAGAGACGCAAACGUUAAUCAUCUUAAACAGGCGUAAAGGGUUUGUAGGCAGCUUUCAUAAUAUUAUUUCUUACAAAAAUAAAGAAGUGGUCUGAUUGAAAGCUAGAAUCAAAAAGAGGUUAUAGUGUAUAACGCCUAGAGGAGGGCUGAUAUCCUUAGAUCCUAGGCAGAAUACUUAGGGCGAAGGCCACUCUCCACUAAUGAUUGACGCUGAGAAACGAAGGUAAGGGUAGGAAAUAGGAUUAGAUACCCCGGUACUCCUUUCUGUAAACGAUGAAUGGUAGUCAUUAGUAAAAUUAACUAGAGACGAAGUUAACACAAUAACCAUUCCGCCUUGUGAGUACUACUGCAAAGUAGAAAACAAAAAAAUUAGUCGGUCUCGAAGCAAACGGAGUGAAGCAUGUUAUUUAAUGUUAA
Molecule: ribosomal RNA, 540 nt
Filed under: Sanguinoderma rugosum
Lineage: Eukaryota; Fungi; Basidiomycota; Agaricomycetes; Polyporales; Polyporaceae
Description: partial large subunit ribosomal RNA
Rfam family: Bacterial small subunit ribosomal RNA
Source: RNAcentral